RNAcentral lists this long non-coding RNA (793 nucleotides) under Anser brachyrhynchus (Pink-footed goose). RNAcentral describes it as "lncRNA (ENSABRG00000001419.1)". The record is from RNAcentral. Lineage: Eukaryota; Metazoa; Chordata; Aves; Anseriformes; Anatidae.
CACGGGCUGACAUCCCCGGGUAGCAAAGGGAAUGCUCCGCUUUCCUGGGGGCUGCAGGGUGGGAGGGAUGUGCAUGUGCCCGACUGGUGCUGACCCCUAGCCAGGGCAUUUUGGGGUUAUUUUUCCCCAGAGCUUCCAGCGCCGGGCAAUGAUUUGCCCCUCAUCAGCCCCUUUAAGGGCGAAGAUGCCAGCGGGAGAACUACAGCUGUAGAUCUGAGUGCUGCCGCCAGGAGACAACAGCCUGCCCAGGGUGCCGGUGGGAUCUGGGGAGAGGGAAGCAGUAGAUCUGCUGCCUGGUCCAGCGCACACCAGGCUGUCCUUUCUGGAGAGUGAAUGCUCAAACGACUUCAGAAGUUGAGGCAUGACCAGAGCUUACGAGCUGUCAGCAGGCUGAUGGACUGUCAGACCUAUUUCAGGAGCAAGACACAUGUCACACUGUCUUCUAUCCUAUAAUGUACAAAUUGCAUUUCAUGACAGCAAUAUAACACUCCUGAGAGCAAAUUUUGGCACAAUUAUCAUCCUUCUCAGGUCGUAAAAGUCACUCAGCUCUUGGCCACCUGUUUUAGAGCUGUCAGCCAAAGCCCCUUGCAACCUCCGCAGUGUCUGAACACCAUGAGAGAGCACACAUGAAUAUUAGCUCACAGAAAAUACGGAGUUAACGAGGAGAACACAUCAUGUGCCCAGUGAGAACGUUUUACAAAUUCCCCAUCCCAGACAGGAGCAGUUGUAGAGGAAGCACGUAUCUGCCUCAAUUUCCCACUUGAAAAAUAAAACCGGGAAUUUAUGAUAAGCA